RNA transcript from Morus notabilis, 1803 nucleotides. It is a transcript of the gene named alkylated DNA repair protein ALKBH8 homolog, with no coding region annotated. The record is from RefSeq and is a predicted model, not a curated record. NCBI's taxonomy places the organism in Eukaryota, Viridiplantae, Streptophyta, Magnoliopsida, Rosales, Moraceae. The transcript has 9 exons.
AAUAAAAAAUUUGUAUCUCUCGUCCUCGAGACGGUGAGGUCCUGGGUUUCGUGACGGAGGCCGACGCGACGAGGUCCUGGGUUUCGCGACGGAGGCCGACGCGACGAGGUCCUGGGUUUCCGACGGAGGCCGACGCGACGAGGUCCUGGGUUUUGCGAAGGCGGCUGGGCUGCGUGACGAGGCUGGGCUGGUUGUGGGACGUUGAUGGCCAGUGGGUUGGCCAUUUGAUGCUGGCGACGAAGGCCGGCGAGGUCUGGGUUUCACGCGGCGGAGGCCGACGAGGACUGAUGGCGGGUUCACCAACACCACCUCAACCACCGGCGAGAUUCAGGCCGGCAAAGGGCGAGGUUAGCGGGAAUCUGUAUGUUGCCAACUGUGGGCCGGCAGUAGGAGUUUCGUUUGCAGACAUCAAAGAGGUGUUUGGUGCAUUUGGAGAUGUCGAGGGUGUCUAUUCAGCCGACGACUCUGGCGUCCAUGUUGUUGUUUGCUUUUCCCAUCACUCCUCCGCUCAAGCUGCUUUCCAAGCACUCAACGCUCGCCCUUGUCCCAACCUCCAUGGCCGCACUUUGCACAUUCGUUAUUCCCUUGUCCAACCUCCUCUCCAGAGAGAGCCGAAUAAUGUUGUUCCGGUGUCUUUGAACGCUUUGGAGUUGAACAUUCCUGGGCUUUACUUGGUGCAUGAUUUUGUCAGCCUUCAAGAAGAGCAGGAGUUGCUUGCAGCGGUUGAUGAAAGACCUUGGAAACAUCUAGCGAAAAGAAGGGUCCAACAUUAUGGUUAUGAAUUUUGCUAUCAGACAAGGAAUGUCAAUUCAAAACAGCAGUUAGGUGAACUUCCCUCAUUUGUUUCUCCUGUACUGGAGAAAAUGUCCAUGUUCAAAAAGCUUUAUGAAAUAACUGCAGAUGUAGCGUUGGACCAAUUGACGGUUAACGAGUAUCCACCAGGUGUAGGUUUGUCCCCACAUAUAGAUACCCAUUCUGCUUUUGAGGGGUUAAUUUUCAGCCUUUCACUAGCAGGACCUUGCAUCAUGGAGUUCAGGAGAUACAUUGAUGGUGAUUGGCGGCAUACUAAAGCUACACUUAGUACUGAUACGACAACAGAAAAUCCUGAAAACAACUCCAAUUUUCUUAGAAAGGCGAUCCAUCUUCCUCCGCGAUCUAUGCUAUUGUUAUCUGGAGAGGCACGCCACGCAUGGAAUCACUACAUACCACACCAUAAGAUUGAUAUGGUGAACGACACUGUGAUCAGAAGAGGAUCAAGGAGAGUGUCUUUCACAUUUCGUAAGGUUCGAACAACACCUUGCAAAUGUAACUUUCCCGAGUAUUGUGAUUCUCAGAGACAGAAAAAGGGAUAGCGCAAAAGGAUCACGCCCAACUUGUUUUCUGUUGAUCAUGUCAAAUCUUAAACUACUCCCAGCCGAUUGGAGAUCAGCGAAACGCUUGAAGAGCAGUUGCGUCGCAAAUUUCAUUAUCUCAAUUGGCAACGGAGAUCGCCUAAAGAUAUAGUUACAGAAGAGUCCUUGUUACUGGAUUGUGGAUAGUCUCCUGCAUAUACAUUCAUGAUUUUCAAAUCUCCAUCGAAUUGUUUGACGGUCAGCUUCACGUCCUGAACAACCACGCCGAGAAGACCAGCCAAACAUUAGGAAAAUGCGGCGCUCAAGUUGCUAUGGUUUAGAACAUCUGAGAAUGUGCCUCCAUUGCUUUUCUUUGCAAUCUCUUGUAGCACCUAUAUUACAUUUCGAUUGAAUGAUUUAGGACGUACUCAUGAAUUAAUUGGUAAAGUUAUUCAUACAGCUUUUGCUUUAA